Molecule: ribosomal RNA, 793 nt
Filed under: uncultured marine microorganism
Description: bacterial SSU rRNA
Rfam family: Bacterial small subunit ribosomal RNA
Source: RNAcentral
AGAGUUUGAUCAUGGCUCAGGAUGAACGCUGGCGGUAUGCCUAACACAUGCAAGUCGAACGAUGUCUUCGGACAUAGUGGCGGACGGGUGAGUAACGCGUGAGAAUCUGCCUCUAGGAUGGGGAUAACGGUUGGAAACGACCGCUAACACCCAAUAUGCCGUAAGGUGAAAAAUUUAUUGCCUGGAGAGGAGCUCGCGUCUGAUUAGCUAGUUGGUGGGGUAAGAGCUCACCAAGGCCUCGAUCAGUAGCUGGUCUGAGAGGAUGAGCAGCCACACUGGGACUGAGACACGGCCCAGACUCCUACGGGAGGCAGCAGUGGGGAAUUUUCCGCAAUGGGCGAAAGCCUGACGGAGCAAUACCGCGUGAGGGAGGAAUGCCUUUGGGUUGUAAACCUCUUUUCUCAGGGAAGAAGAUCUGACGGUACCUGAGGAAUAAGUAUCGGCUAACUCCGUGCCAGCAGCCGCGGUAAUACGGAGGAUGCAAGCGUUAUCCGGAAUCAUUGGGCGUAAAGCGUCCGCAGGUGGUUUCCAAAGUCUGCUGUUAAAGACUGGAGCUCAACUCCGGAACGGCGGUGGAAACUUGGAAACUAGAGUUCGGUAGGGGUAGCAGGAAUUCCCAGUGUAGCGGUGAAAUGCGUAGAUAUUGGGAAGAACAUCGGUGGCGAAGGCGUGCUACUGGACCGUAACUGACACUCAGGGACGAAAGCUAGGGGAGCGAAAGGGAUUAGAUACCCCUGUAGUCCUAGCUGUAAACGAUGGAAACUAGGUGUGGCUUGUAUCGACCCGAGCCGUG